RNAcentral lists this ribosomal RNA (279 nucleotides) under uncultured bacterium. RNAcentral describes it as "partial 16S ribosomal RNA". It matches the Rfam family "Bacterial small subunit ribosomal RNA", at positions 506 to 784 of the family's 1533-position model. The record is from RNAcentral.
UGCCAGCCGCCGCGGUAAUACGGAGGGGGUUAGCGUUGUUCGGAAUUACUGGGCGUAAAGCGUACGUAGGCGGAUUAGUAAGUCGACUGUUAAAUCGUAGAGCUCAACUCUAUAUCGGCAGUCGAAACUACUUCGCUUGAGUGUGGUAGGGGCAGAGGGAAUUCCCGGUGUAGCGGUGAAAUGCGUAGAUAUCGGGAAGAACACCAACGGCGAAAGCACUCUGCUGGGCCAACACUGACACUGAGAGACGAAAGCUAGGGUAGCCAAUGGGAUUAGAUA